GGAGUUUUAUAUUGAAGUCGUUAUAACGACUUAGCUAAGUUGUUUAAACGAGUUAGCUAAGUUGUUGAAACGAGCUAGCUAAGUUGUUUAAACAAGUAAGCUUAGUCGUUAAAACAAGUUAGCUAAGUUUUUAUAACAAAAUAAAUAUGCUUAGUCGUUAUAACAACUUAGCUAAGUCGUUUAAACAAGUUAGCUAAGUCAGUACAUUCAUAUUAAAGCAAAGC
RNAcentral lists this long non-coding RNA (224 nucleotides) under Mytilus galloprovincialis (Mediterranean mussel). Lineage: Eukaryota; Metazoa; Mollusca; Bivalvia; Mytilida; Mytilidae. The record is from RNAcentral.